RNAcentral lists this long non-coding RNA (588 nucleotides) under Eucalyptus grandis. RNAcentral describes it as "long non-coding RNA (EGRA_LNC007514)". The record is from RNAcentral. Lineage: Eukaryota; Viridiplantae; Streptophyta; Magnoliopsida; Myrtales; Myrtaceae.
UCAAUAGCACCAGGCUUCUUCUCUUUUUCAUUCAAAACUGAAGCUGAAAAACAGAAAGUUUUAGACUCCGGGCCGUGGUCCUUCGCAAGCAACCUCCUCGUUCUUCAGCAAUGCGAUCCUGAUAUUCCAGAAAUCUGCUAUGAUUUUGAUCAUUGUCCCUUCUGGGUUACCCUAUAUGGACUUCCGUUUGGUCGAGUGACGAAGGAAAUUGUCAACGACAUAGCUUCUAAGCUUGGCAAAGUUAUAGAGAUGAAGUUGGAAGCUAAAGGAAAUAGUGCAUACAAAGUUGGCAAAGCUAGGGUGAAUCUACACUUAGGUUCCCCUCUUAAAACAGGAGUAAUUAUAAAGUUGGGAGACAAGAAACUGUGGAUAGAAUUUAAAUAUGAGCGGCUCCCACAUUACUGCUAUUCAUGUGGACGAAUCGGACACUACGCCACAGCAUGUAAAGAGAUUUCUUUUGAAACAACAAGGCGGCAAGAAGACAUACCAGGAAAUUUUGGGAAUUGGCUACGUGCUGAAGUCAGGGAUCUCAGCCCUUAUGGUAAAAUCUUUUAUGGGAAACAGAUUCACCUCCUUGAAAAUCCCGAA